UUUGUUUUAGAGCCCAAUAUUUGUCAAAGGAGUUUUAAUUUUUACGCGGUUGUAAUCGGUUUUAAUCCGAUUUUUAAGCGUCUAGUCGGGUAUUAUUAGAUUAACCGGGUUUCCGAUUAAUUCUGGCGACUUGGAUGAAAUCGCGGCGGUUGGGUUCCGCCAAGCGCCUAGUCGGACGACUAAUCGGCUAGGCGGCCGCGUUUUCGAAUGUGAACAAAAACUUUAGUUUAAUUUCUUUGAAUGUGAACAAAAACUUUAGUUUAAUUUCUUAACAUUUUCUCAUGUCUUCUUACAAUAUUAUCUUUUUUUGUAGUUUUUUAAUUCAUGGUUUUGAUCCCCCCUUCUAAAAAAUGUAAGAUUUAGAUCUAUAGAUUUUAAAUGUGUAGUUUAUGUUUAUAUUUAAAUAAAGUUACAGAUUCCAUCUCUAUGUGUUUAAUAUGCUACUAUUUUAUCUUAUAAAUUCUAUUUUUGAAGUUUAUUCAGAUUUAAAGUUGUUUUAAAGUUUUCAAAAUGUACAGAUUUUUUAGAUCUGAAAAUUAUCUAAUACAUUAUACUAACUUCUAAUGAAGUCUGCUUAAAAUUAAUUAAGGCUCGUAUAUUUCAAAUGAAGUCUAGUAAACCAUAAAUUUUAAGCUUAAAAUAUGAUUUUUUUAUUUAAUUUUUGUCUUAUGUUUUUUUUUCCUCAUUAUCUUAGUAUGCAUGUAUUUUCUUUCAAUGUUUUCUUCUCCUCCACCCAAAAUGUAAGAUUUACAUCUAUAGAUUUUAAAUGUGUAUUUUGUGUUUAUAUUCAAAUAAAUUUAUAUAUUUGAACUUCAUGUGUUUACUUUCUUACAGUCUUAUCUCUAUUGAUGAUUUUUUUUUAGAUUUAAGGUUAUUUACAAAUUUUCUAAAUUUACUUAUUUUUCACAGCUGAAAAAUUACGAUAAUGUAGACUUCUAAUAAUUAUGCUUCAAAGUUAAGUCUAGUAUGAAGUCUACUAAACCAUAAAUUUUA
Molecule: long non-coding RNA, 993 nt
Filed under: Brassica rapa (field mustard)
Lineage: Eukaryota; Viridiplantae; Streptophyta; Magnoliopsida; Brassicales; Brassicaceae
Description: long non-coding RNA (BRAP_LNC004234)
Source: RNAcentral